GACGGAGGGUGCAAGCGUUAAUCGGAUUUACUGGGCGUAAAGGGCGCGUAGGCGGUCGUGACAAGUCACUUGUGAAAUCUCCGGGCUUAACUCGGAACGGUCAAGUGAUACUGUCGGACUAGAGUACAGAAGGGGCAACUGGAAUUCUCGGUGUAGCGGUGAAAUGCGUAGAUAUCGAGAGGAACACCUGCGGCGAAGGCGGGUUGCUGGGCUGAUACUGACGCUGAGGCGCGAAAGCCAGGGGAGCGAACGGG
RNAcentral lists this ribosomal RNA (254 nucleotides) under uncultured bacterium. RNAcentral's name for it is "partial 16S ribosomal RNA". It matches the Rfam family "Bacterial small subunit ribosomal RNA", at positions 524 to 776 of the family's 1533-position model. The record is from RNAcentral.